GGCCCGUUGGUCAAGUGGUUAAGACAGUGGCCUCUCACGCCAUUAACAUCGGUUCGAAUCCGGUACGGGUCACCA
This 75-nucleotide transfer RNA is filed under the name Bacillota bacterium. RNAcentral describes it as "tRNA-Glu". It matches the Rfam family "tRNA". Rfam says of the family: Transfer RNA (tRNA) molecules are approximately 80 nucleotides in length. RNAcentral also lists the same sequence under 4 other names. Lineage: Bacteria; Bacillati; Bacillota. The record is from RNAcentral.